UACGAAGGGGGCUAGCGUUGUUCGGAAUUACUGGGCGUAAAGGGCGCGUAGGCGGUACUUCAAGUCAGGCGUGAAAGCCCCGGGCUCAACCUGGGAACCGCGCUUGAGACUGGAGAACUAGAGUUCGGGAGAGGAUGGUGGAAUUCCCAGUGUAGAGGUGAAAUUCGUAGAUAUUGGGAAGAACACCGAUGGCGAAGGCAGCCAUCUGGACCGACACUGACGCUGAGGCACGAAAGCAUGGGGAGCAAACAGG
RNAcentral lists this ribosomal RNA (253 nucleotides) under uncultured bacterium. RNAcentral describes it as "partial 16S ribosomal RNA". It matches the Rfam family "Bacterial small subunit ribosomal RNA", at positions 524 to 776 of the family's 1533-position model. The record is from RNAcentral.